GCAGGUAUAGCCAAGCGAUAAGGCAAGCGGCUGCAACCCGCUGAUCCUGGGUUUGAUUCCCAGUACCUGCU
This 71-nucleotide transfer RNA is filed under the name Nanobdellota archaeon. RNAcentral's name for it is "tRNA-Cys". It matches the Rfam family "tRNA". From Rfam's summary of the family: Transfer RNA (tRNA) molecules are approximately 80 nucleotides in length. Their secondary structure includes four short double-helical elements and three loops (D, anti-codon, and T loops). The record is from RNAcentral. Lineage: Archaea; Nanobdellati; Nanobdellota.